Molecule: long non-coding RNA, 562 nt
Organism: Megalops cyprinoides (Indo-Pacific tarpon)
Lineage: Eukaryota; Metazoa; Chordata; Actinopteri; Elopiformes; Megalopidae
Exons: 4
Source: RefSeq, a predicted model, not a curated record
GAUUCACCAUGCAUACUAUGGAGCCAUGCAUUGAAGGUGGAAGUCACACAGCUGGGCACUGGACUCCACCAUGAGUCUGGCAUUGACUGAGUAGCAAAUUGCCUAUAUGACAAAGGCCCACUUCUGUGAAACAGGGGCUCCCAGCUCUGGAGGACUGGAAUGGUGGUGAAUUGUGCACUUUAUGCAUGCUGCGCACUCCUGAUGCUGAAAUAUGAAAGGUUAGCACUGCAGUCCGUGCCGAUCACCCUGACAAACUCGAUGGAAAAAAAUCUCUGGGUUUGUCAUUGAUUAGUUGAGGAUGGUAAGCAAGUUGGAAUGAGGUUGCCUUUUGUAGGUCCCCCUUACAAAAGAUCCAUGUUGAUGAGAACUUUCUGGUAAAAUAAAGAUUAAAUAAAAAUGUGGUUUGACUCACUGACAGGAUGACACAGGCCAGGACAUGAGCCGUAUACAUUUUGUACAGUUGUUGCCUUGAAUAGCUUUGAAAGGCAGCAGUGAGCAUGUAUCAAGCCUGUGCUUUGAUGUGACGAGCGCCAGACUUUUUCCUAAUAAAGGUCAUUGUGUC